GCAUUAACAUUUCCAAUUCAAACAGUGUCAUUCUCUGCUUACCCGUUGCCAUGGUGACUCAUCAAAUCAGCGCUCCAUUGAUACUGGCUUUUCAGAGCUGUGGUGCACAUGCUUAACUCCGGGGGGAAACUACUCCGAGUUGAUUUAACCAACAACAGUUUGUUGAACCCGCUUCGUGAAACAGACUCCAGCAGACAAACUAAACCACAAUCAACACUAAAAGAAACUACACUACCAAACCAACAAAAACCACAAAACCAAACAGGAAUAACCUGAACCAAACACAGCAAUGUACUUACAAAAACCAGGGGAAAACCAAACUAAAGGCUAGGCAGGCUAGGAGAACCCAGAAGCUAGUGGGGAAACAAAAUUGGCAGACUGAAGACUGGGGAGCAUCCAAAAACAGACAGGAGUUGAACCGAGUCCACAAGAGCAAAAUCCAGGACAGCAAAAUCUGUUGAGUCCAAGAGGCUGAAGCUGACAAGCAGCAGAAGGCUUGGUGGGGAAACCCACAAUCCAGGAACACAGCAGAAGCCAUGGAGGGAUGUGAGCCGAUGAUCCAGCGAUGAGUGACUGGAAGCACAGAGCUUAAAUACUGGAGGCUCAGAUUCCCACAAAGACUCACAUGGCUUCACACGCUCUGCUCCCUCAUGGACUCUGCUUCCCCACUUCUGGACUCCUUUUUUCCUCGACCCUUUUUCUCCGUCUUGUGAGUAUCCUUGCUUAGUUUACUUUUGUUAAUCCAGUUUAGUAUUGGUUGACUUCCGUUUCUGUAUUGGUAGUGUUUGCUGGGUUUUGAAUAGUUGGGUUUAGUUUUGUUUCCCCAGUUCAGCUCUCCAUUUAUGUACUAGUUUAGUUAUCUUUUUAAAUGAAACUCUUUCCAUUAUUCACCUGUCUGGAAGUCUCUCUGUGUCUGUGCCUGCGUUGUCCAACUCAGGGCCCAAACCGUCCCUUAAAUAACUCUGGGUCCGUUUCACGAAGUAGGUUCAACAAACUCUGUGUAACCCUGAACUCUGAGUUGAUCUACUCUGAGAUAGAAAACUCUGAGUUUUCGGUUUCACAACGGCUGAUUUGAGUUGGUUUAAUCAACUCAGAGUAGUUUCACCCAGAGUGCACCGCAACUAUAAAAAGACAGCAUCAAUGGAACCCCGAUUCGACGACUCACCGUGGUGACGGGGAAGCGGAGAGCUACGUUUUUUACACCACUUGAACUGGACAUCUUAAUGCGUUCAUAUGGCGACUUCGAACACGUUUUUAGAAAGAAGUGCAACACCUGCAGCUGCAAAAGAGAGGGAGACGGCGUGGGAAAACAUUGCUGCCCGGGUCAAUGCGUAAGUUUAAAUCACAAUAAUAUUACAGGGAAACUGUUUAAUAGCAGCCUGUUCUGUUAUUUCAUUUAGGUGCAAUCCUGCGGGGGAGAAGCGCAUGUGGCAGCAGCUGAAGAUGAAAUAUAAGAACAUUGUUCAAACAGCCAACAGAAAGAAAGCAGAUGCCUGUAAAAAGGGAGGUGGCCCAGCACCACCACCUGUAACGGAGGCAGAGGAGCUGGUCCUAAGCCAGAAUUUGGGAAGGCCAGUGGCUGAGGGAAUCCCUGGAGGGAGCUCAUCCUCUGAGACCACAUCCCAAGACACAAGUGCUUUUAUAUAUAUGCGCGAGUGCGUGAGUGAGUGCGUGUAUGUCCCAUGUAUAUGUGGAAUUUUUUAAAGCGUAUUCAUACAAAUAUUUACUUCUCUUUUAGGUCUUUUUUUCUUCACUUGGCCCAACAGAUUCUGAUGGUACUAUCUGCCUGGUGGAGCCCUUCACACCACAACACACCUUGGAACUGAUGAAGAGGAUGAAGCUGUGUCUGCUGCCUUUACAGAGGGGGAUCCAGAAAGACAUCUAGAGGUGUGCCUGAUCAGGAGCAGAGGGUCGUCACCUGACUGAGCCACACCUGCAAUCAGUGGCUCAGCUGCAUUUAACUGCUCUCCUCUCCAGUCUAGACGGGGCUUGCUGACAGGAGCUGGUGUCUGUGGAGAUCCAGCCUCACCUGUGGGUUUUUGUGUCGUUUGGGCCUUGACGGCAUUGUGGACUGCUUUUAGUUGGCAAUAAACCUUUGUUUUCUCACCGUA
Molecule: long non-coding RNA, 2111 nt
Organism: Amphiprion ocellaris (clown anemonefish)
Lineage: Eukaryota; Metazoa; Chordata; Actinopteri; Pomacentridae
Exons: 5
Source: RefSeq, a predicted model, not a curated record